This 460-nucleotide ribosomal RNA is filed under the name uncultured bacterium. Its description in RNAcentral is "partial 16S ribosomal RNA". It matches the Rfam family "Bacterial small subunit ribosomal RNA", at positions 338 to 795 of the family's 1533-position model. The record is from RNAcentral.
CCUACGGGGAGCAGCAGUGAGGAAUAUUGGUCAAUGGCCGUAAGGCUGAACCAGCCAAGUCGCGUGAAGGAAGAAGGAUCUAUGGUUUGUAAACUUCUUUUAUAGGGGAAUAAAGGUAUCCACGUGUGGAUAUUUGCAUGUACCCUAUGAAUAAGCAUCGGCUAACUCCGUGCCAGCAGCCGCGGUAAUACGGAGGAUGCGAGCGUUAUCCGGAUUUAUUGGGUUUAAAGGGUGCGUAGGUUGUUUUUUAAGUCAGCGGUGAAAGUUUGUGGCUCAACCAUAAAAUUGCCGUUGAAACUGGAAGACUUGAGUGUGUUUGAGGUAGGCGGAAUGCGUGGUGUAGCGGUGAAAUGCAUAGAUAUCACGCAGAACUCCGAUUGCGAAGGCAGUUCACUGGACUGCAACUGACACUGAGGCUCGAAAGUGUGGGUAUCAAACAGGAUUAGAUACCCUUGUAGUC